RNAcentral lists this ribosomal RNA (427 nucleotides) under uncultured beta proteobacterium. RNAcentral's name for it is "bacterial SSU rRNA". It matches the Rfam family "Bacterial small subunit ribosomal RNA", at positions 355 to 774 of the family's 1533-position model. The record is from RNAcentral. Lineage: Bacteria; Pseudomonadati; Pseudomonadota; Betaproteobacteria.
UGGGGAAUUUUGGACAAUGGGCGAAAGCCUGAUCCAGCCAUGCCGCGUGAGUGAAGAAGGCCUUCGGGUUGUAAAGCUCUUUUAGUCGGAAAGAAAGAGUUGCAAUGAAUAAUUGUGAUUUAUGACGGUACCGACAGAAAAAGCACCGGCUAACUACGUGCCAGCAGCCGCGGUAAUACGUAGGGUGCGAGCGUUAAUCGGAAUUACUGGGCGUAAAGGGUGCGCAGGCGGUCUUGCAAGUCAGAUGUGAAAGCCCCGGGCUUAACCUGGGAAUUGCGUUUGAAACUACAAGGCUAGAGUGCAGCAGAGGGGAGUGGAAUUCCAUGUGUAGCAGUGAAAUGCGUAGAGAUGUGGAAGAACACCGAUGGCGAAGGCAGCCCCCUGGGUUAACACUGACGCUCAUGCACGAAAGCGUGGGGAGCAAACA